Molecule: long non-coding RNA, 202 nt
Filed under: Mytilus galloprovincialis (Mediterranean mussel)
Lineage: Eukaryota; Metazoa; Mollusca; Bivalvia; Mytilida; Mytilidae
Source: RNAcentral
AAAAAAUAUACAUUGAUAUAUGCAUUGCUUUUGAAACCUUGAUAACACAUAAAUUAUUUGCCUUAAUAAAUAAAUCAUAAGAUAAACAUGAAUGUACUCAUAUAUGAAUGUUUAAUGUUGAGGCAACAUUGCAACAGUUUUCAUAAUAACGGUUGCCUUGGUUUUUGGUUAACUGCCUUCAGCGCUUACAGCGCUUUGAUUA